This 263-nucleotide ribosomal RNA is filed under the name Listeria monocytogenes. RNAcentral's name for it is "partial 16S ribosomal RNA". It matches the Rfam family "Bacterial small subunit ribosomal RNA", at positions 1 to 252 of the family's 1533-position model. The record is from RNAcentral. Lineage: Bacteria; Bacillati; Bacillota; Bacilli; Caryophanales; Listeriaceae.
UUUAAAGAGAGUUUGAUCCUGGCUCAGGACGAACGCUGGCGGCGUGCCUAAUACAUGCAAGUCGAACGAACGGAGGAAGAGCUUGCUCUUCCAAUGUUAGUGGCGGACGGGUGAGUAACACGUGGGCAACCUGCCUGUAAGUUGGGGAUAACUCCGGGAAACCGGGGCUAAUACCGAAUGAUAAGAUGUGGCGCAUGCCACGCCUUUGAAAGAUGGUUUCGGCUAUCGCUUACAGAUGGGCCCGCGGUGCAUUAGCUAGUUGG